This 472-nucleotide ribosomal RNA is filed under the name uncultured bacterium. Its description in RNAcentral is "bacterial SSU rRNA". It matches the Rfam family "Bacterial small subunit ribosomal RNA", at positions 28 to 507 of the family's 1533-position model. The record is from RNAcentral.
GAUGAACGCUAGCGGGAGGCUUAAUACAUGCAAGUCGAGGGAGAAGCUAUUUUCGGAUGGUGGAAACCGGCGCACGGGUGAGUAACGCGUACACUACCUACCUUAUACUGGGGAAUAGCCUUUGGAAACGGAGAGUAAUACCCCAUAGUCCCCGACCUAGUCGGGGUAAAGCUCCGGCGGUAUGAGAUGGGUGUGCGUCCCAUUAGCUAGUUGGUAGGGUAACGGCCUACCAAGGCGACGAUGGGUAGGGGGCGUGAGAGCGUGAUCCCCCACACGGGUACUGAGACACGGACCCGACUCCUACGGGAGGCAGCAGUAAGGAAUAUUGGACAAUGGGCGAAAGCCUGAUCCAGCCAUCCCGCGUGCAGGAUGACAGCCCUAUGGGUCGUAAACUGCUUUUGCCAGGGAAGAAACCCCCGGAUUUACUCCGGGGCUGACGGUACCUGGCGAAUAAGCACCGGCUAACUCCGUG